GACGAACGCUGGCGGCGUGCCUAAAACAUGCAAGUCGAACGGUGAACCGGAGCUUGCUCCGGGAAUCAGUGGCGAACGGGUGAGUAACACGUGAGAAACCUGCCUCGAAGUCUGGGAUAAGCCAGGGAAACUUGGUCUAAUACCAGAUGCCUUCACAACUUCUUAUGUUGAUGUGAAGAAAGUUUUUCGCUUCGAGAGGGUCUCGCGUCCUAUCAGCUUGUUGGUGGGGUAACGGCCACCAAGGCUUCGACGGGUAGCUGGUCUGAGAGGAUGAUCAGCCACACUGGGACUGAGACACGGCCCAGACUCCUACGGGAGGCAGCAGUUAGGAAUCUUGCGCAAUGGGCGAAAGCCUGACGCAGCAACGCCGCGUGAGGAUGAAGGCUUUCGGUGUAACCUCUUUCAGUAGGAACGAAUUGACGUACCUACAGAAGAAGCUCCGGCCAACUACGU
RNAcentral lists this ribosomal RNA (453 nucleotides) under uncultured bacterium. Its description in RNAcentral is "bacterial SSU rRNA". It matches the Rfam family "Bacterial small subunit ribosomal RNA", at positions 28 to 506 of the family's 1533-position model. The record is from RNAcentral.